This 238-nucleotide ribosomal RNA is filed under the name uncultured bacterium. RNAcentral's name for it is "partial 16S ribosomal RNA". It matches the Rfam family "Bacterial small subunit ribosomal RNA", at positions 96 to 334 of the family's 1533-position model. The record is from RNAcentral.
UGGCGGACGGGUGAGUAACGCGUGGGUAACCUGCCUCACACUGGGGGACAACAGUUAGAAAUGACUGCUAAUACCGCAUAAGCGCACAGGACCGCAUGGUCCGGUGUGAAAAACUCCGGUGGUGUGAGAUGGACCCGCGUUUGAUUAGCUAGUUGGUGGGGUAACGGCCCACCAAGGCGACGAUCAAUAGCCGACCUGAGAGGGUGACCGGCCACAUUGGGACUGAGACACGGCCCAA